UGUCCGAGGACCCUGCGGCAACGGGGAAGAUGACGGAGGACACCACUCCUGUGGAGGCUUUGACUCUGAGGACAGGUGGCUGAGAAGGGGUCCUGGGGGUGACCCACGCCACAGGCCUCCCUCCCUGGAAUGAGGAAACCGCGCCGUGGUGUGUCACCUCCGGCCCCUGAGUCUGACCUCAUAUCUCGCCUGUAAGAUCCUGAGGGCUGGGAGGGUGAGAUUUCCCUCCCCUUACCCCUUUGGCAGACUCCUGGGUGGGGUAGUCCUGCUCCCUCCUCCUGUGUCAUUCUUCAGAAGCACAGAGGAACCCUGGGGAGUCUGAGGUUGGAAGGACACUCAGUGGGAUUUUGAGGCCGUCUGGGCUUUCAGUCUGCCCACUGCUGGCUCGGCCUCGUGUGGGCAGGGGGCUGCCUAGGCCAAAACUCCGCAGUGCUCACCACUUCGGGUCAGGACCACACACCCUGAGGUUGGGCUGUGCAGAGAGGGUCAGAGCGCUAAGAAAUGUGCCAAAAGGCUGUGGUCUUUAGCUCCAUUUUACAGAUGAGGAAACUGAGGCAUGACAGGCUGCUGUCAGACGUUCCCUGAAGCUCUUCCGUUUGUGGAGUCAGAAUCCUCUGUGGUAUUUUCAAGAUCCAGUGUCCCGAGACUCCUUGCAUGACACCCUUCCUCAGGGAGAAGGGUUCCACUGUGACCAUGGUGAGGACGGCCCUCUGCAGACUUGCUUCCGUCCCUGCUGGGUCUGUCUGAAGCCCUGCCUCCCUGCAGGAGCAGCUCGCAGGGGGUCACAGCUCCAAGCCCUGGCCCUGACUUUCCUCCCACAGCCCGUCUCGCCUAGCAUCCCAAUUGAGGAUGACUCAGCCACUGUCCCAGGCUCUCCUGAGCAGGAGGUGGUGACAACGGUGGGGGCAGGUAAAGGAGAAACAAAACAUGCCUGUGCCAAGGCUUGCACAUUGUCACGAUGGGCUCUUGUUUUUAGAAUUGACUUAAUUUUAAGAGCAAAUAAGCGAUGGCAUAAAUGAAAACCUAGCUCAAAGCAA
Long non-coding RNA from Galeopterus variegatus (Sunda flying lemur), 1037 nucleotides. RefSeq lists it as uncharacterized. The record is from RefSeq and is a predicted model, not a curated record. Lineage: Eukaryota; Metazoa; Chordata; Mammalia; Dermoptera; Cynocephalidae. The transcript has 2 exons.